This 1376-nucleotide long non-coding RNA is filed under the name Marmota monax (woodchuck). The record is from RNAcentral. Lineage: Eukaryota; Metazoa; Chordata; Mammalia; Rodentia; Sciuridae.
GGUCUCAUUAAGUUGCUGAGACUGGCCACAGACUUGUGAUCCUCCUGACUCAGCCUCUUGAGUCUCUGGGAUUAUAGGUGUGUGCUACCACACCUGGCUAUAGUUUGGUUUUGAAAUGGGGCCUUGCUGGGUUUCCAGGCUGGUUUCAAGCAAUCCUCCUACCUCAGCGGAGGCAGAUGCUUGUUAGACUUUUGUCAAUAUUAUUUGCAAUAAGCAACAGCCCAUUUUGAAUAGCUGCAGGUAAUGCACAUUCAAGAGUAAUUUCUUUGUCCACUUGAGACCAUUAGUUGCUCCUUAUUUGCCACUCUUGUUGUCUUGCUUCACUCUUCUUGCUUUAGUUUCUUUUCUUUUUUGAUACCAGAAAUUAAACCUUUUAUCUUGAGACAGGGUCUCAUUGUGUUGCUUAGGCUGAGUCUAGCUUGAACUCGAGAUCUUCCUGUCUCAGUCUCCUGAGCUGCUGGGAUUACAGGUGUGCACCACCACAUCUAGCCUGCUUUAGUUUCUUGUCUAAAUAAAUCUACUUGUUUUAGCAACAUGUAGCCAGCAUUCCAUCAUGUAUCCAAGAUAGUUGUAAAGUCAAAUUUGAUAUGGAUUUUUUCCAAGAUGUUUCAUUUUGAGCUGUUCCUGAACAUUCCAUUAUAAUCUUUUUAUUAACCAAAGAAUGUUAACAGUAUCAGCACAGUUAGGCUGGGUUUCCUGACAAGUUCAACUAUGUGCUAUAGAGGACACAUGGCCCCAAAAAUGCUUCUGGAUAUUUGGCUAAGAUUCUGACUUGUUCACCUUAACUAUUUAUUUAUAGUUCUGGGGAUUGAAUUCAGGGACUCACGUAUUCUAGGCAAGUGUUAUACCAUUGAACUCUACCCCAGCACCUUUUAAAAAAAAAUAUUUAUUUUUAGUUUUCGACAGACACAACAUCUUUGUUUGUACGUGGUGCUGAGGAUCGAACCCGGCCGCAUGCAUGCCAGGCAAGUGCGCUACAGCUUGAGCCACAUCCCCAGCCCAACCCCAGCACUUUUUAAAUUUUAUUUUGAGACAGGAUCUUGCUAAGUUGCCAAGGCUGGACUCAAACUUGUGAUCUUCCUGCUCAGUCUUCCCAUAGCUUUCCAAGCAGCUGGGGUUACAGGUGUGUGCUAUCAUGCCUGACUACCUUUAUCUUUAUUAACCACAUCAGUGCCAUUACCAUAGAAUUUCCCUUGAUAAUCUUUUAAAGCAAUGCUUAAAAUCAAUAGUAGCUUCCCCAAAAUCCUUCCUUUGAGUCAAACAGUUAAAUACACAUGCCUGUUUCAUUUAGACCUACAUAGGUAUGAAUUUUAAAAUAAAUAGGAAUUAAUAUUACAAAAUGUUCCUCAGCUACUAUUAAAAACACUAUAUUAAUG